Molecule: small RNA, 89 nt
Filed under: Carnobacterium maltaromaticum
Lineage: Bacteria; Bacillati; Bacillota; Bacilli; Lactobacillales; Carnobacteriaceae
Description: RatA
Rfam family: RNA anti-toxin A
Source: RNAcentral
UAUGUUAUAAUAAAAAAGAAGACGUGCUAGUAACACGUCCCCUUGAUGUAGAACCGUUUAAGACGGUAGCUUAGUUUAAUUAGUUAAAA